CCCCUAGAUGCUCUGGGCCGCACGCGCGCUACACUGAACAGUUCAACAAGUCUUAACCUUGGCCGAUAGGUCUGGGUAAUCUUUGAACGCUGUUCGUGAUUGGGAUAGACCUUUGCAAUUAUGGGUCUUCAACGAGGAAUUCCUAGUAAACGCAAGUCAUCAGCUUGCAUUGAUUACGUCCCUGCCCUUUGUACACACCGCCCGUCGCACCUACCGAUUGAAUGGUCCGGUGAAAUCUCGGGACGGCGGCUUGGUCGCUUGCGUCCGACUGCUGAAACUUGAUUAAACCAUNUNAUUUAUNGGAAGGUGAANUCGUANCA
RNAcentral lists this ribosomal RNA (320 nucleotides) under uncultured eukaryote. RNAcentral describes it as "partial 18S ribosomal RNA". It matches the Rfam family "Eukaryotic small subunit ribosomal RNA", at positions 1470 to 1796 of the family's 1831-position model. The record is from RNAcentral.